RNAcentral lists this ribosomal RNA (216 nucleotides) under Glomeromycotina sp. Its description in RNAcentral is "partial small subunit ribosomal RNA". The stretch from base 44 to 216 matches the Rfam family "Eukaryotic small subunit ribosomal RNA", at positions 690 to 864 of the family's 1831-position model. The record is from RNAcentral. Lineage: Eukaryota; Fungi; Glomeromycota.
GGGUCAGUAGGUUGGUCGUGCCACCGGUACGUACUGGUCUCACUGAUUCCUCCUUCCUGAAGAACCGUAAUGCCAUUAAUUUGGUGUUGCGGGGAAACAGGACUGCCACUUUGAAAAAAUUAGAGUGUUUAAAGCAAGCUAACGCUUGAAUACAUUAGCAUGGAAUAAUGAAAUAGGACGAUCGAUCCUAUUUUGUUGGUUUCUAGGAUUGACGUA